RNAcentral lists this long non-coding RNA (759 nucleotides) under Panax ginseng (ginseng). Its description in RNAcentral is "long non-coding RNA (PGIN_LNC008621)". The record is from RNAcentral. Lineage: Eukaryota; Viridiplantae; Streptophyta; Magnoliopsida; Apiales; Araliaceae.
GCUAGCUAGCUAGCUAGCUUUGAUUGACAAAAUGAUCUUUUUACAUCUUAAUUUAUUGUAAUUCAUGAACAAUAUAUAGCUAGCUACCUACCGCGCCGUGCAUGUAAAUUACAAUAGAAAAAGAAAUACAAGGAACUAAUGGCAAAUUAAGGGGAUCAGAGCUAGUUAAUUAAGGCUAUAUAUUUCAAACAGCAUACUGGUCAGGGUCCGACACACGAGUUUCAUGGAAUCUGGCAAUGAAGGCUGAGGCUUUACGAUCAAUGCCAGGUUCGCCAACCCAGCGUCCUCUGUCUUCAUCACUCGGGCAUAUUCUUCUAGUAGUGUUCCCUGCAGCUUCAUCCCAAUAAUCCUCACUUCCGGUACCAGAACAACAAGCCUUAAAUAUGGAGAAAAUGGAAGAUGAUUUCCUCUGACGCCUAUUGUAACUUCCCAUUAAUUAUACUCUAGCUCUUCUCUUCUCUUCUAUUCUAGAUCUGUUUCAACUAUAUAUCCUUUUGAAGAAGGGAAAUCGGAUGGAAUGGAUUUCUAUAGAUGAGUUAGGUUUUGAGUGGCAUGAAAUAUCUUUUGGCCACCCAAGUGCAUUUAUAUACUAAAGGGAGGAGCUAGCUAGUCAUAUAGCUAUGCAGACUCUCAAAUGUACACAGUCUAUAAUCGUAGAGUAGUCACUACAAUAUGAGGAUUCUACAUUUCUACGAUAGCAGAGUACUAACUACUCUACAAUCAGUCAGUGACUAUUCUACGAUCGUAGGGUAACGUAAC